UCGCCUGUUUAUCAAAAACAUCGCCUCUUGCAACUCACAUAUAAGAGGUAACGCCUGCCCAGUGACCAUGUGUUCAACGGCCGCGGUAUUCUGACCGUGCAAAGGUAGCGUAAUCACUUGUCUUUUAAAUAAAGACCAGUAUGAAUGGCAUCACGAGAGUUCAACUGUCUCCCACACCCAAUCAGUGAAACUGAUCUCCCCGUGCAGAAGCGGGGAUAAAACCAUAAGACGAGAAGACCCCAUGGAGCUUUAAACUAAAGGCACUAGCUUCUUAUUAAUACCCAAGGACAAAAUAUUUAACCAGCUAAAGUGACCUGUCGUUUUCGGUUGGGGCGACCACGGAGAAAAGCAAAUCCUCCGAAAUGAAAGGGACAACCCUUAGCCAAGACUCACAACUCUAAGCAAUAGAACAUCUAACACACCGAUCCAAUCAAAUUGAUCAACGAACCAAGUUACCCUGGGGAUAACAGCGCAAUCUAUUUUCAGAGUUCAUAUCGACAAAUAGGUUUACGACCUCGAUGUUGGAUCAGGGCCUCCUAGCGGUGCAGCCGCUGCUAAGGGUUCGUUUGUUCAACGAUUAAAGCCCUACGUGAUCUGAGUUCAGACCGGA
RNAcentral lists this ribosomal RNA (610 nucleotides) under Bombina maxima (large-webbed bell toad). RNAcentral's name for it is "partial 16S ribosomal RNA". It matches the Rfam family "Bacterial large subunit ribosomal RNA", at positions 1796 to 2620 of the family's 2925-position model. The record is from RNAcentral. Lineage: Eukaryota; Metazoa; Chordata; Amphibia; Anura; Bombinatoridae.